RNAcentral lists this non-coding RNA (29 nucleotides) under Mus musculus (house mouse). Lineage: Eukaryota; Metazoa; Chordata; Mammalia; Rodentia; Muridae. The record is from RNAcentral.
UGCUACACGUGAUGCCGCGGGAUGAUGCA